RNAcentral lists this ribosomal RNA (253 nucleotides) under uncultured bacterium. RNAcentral describes it as "partial 16S ribosomal RNA". It matches the Rfam family "Bacterial small subunit ribosomal RNA", at positions 524 to 776 of the family's 1533-position model. The record is from RNAcentral.
GACAGAGGGUGCAAGCGUUGUUCGGAAUUACUGGGCGUAAAGCGCGUGUAGGCGGCUCUGCAAGUCAGGUGUGAAAUCCCACGGCUCAACCAUGGAAGUGCACUUGAAACUGCAGGGCUAGAGUCCUGGAGAGGAAGGUGGAAUGCUUGGUGUAGAGGUGAAAUUCGUAGAUAUCAAGCGGAACACCGGUGGCGAAGGCGGCCUUCUGGACAGUGACUGACGCUGAGACGCGAAAGCGUGGGGAGCAAACAGG